GACGAACGCUGGCGGCGUGCCUAAUACAUGCAAGUUGAGCGCUGAAGGUUGGUACUUGUACCAACUGGAUGAGCAGCGAACGGGUGAGUAACGCGUGGGGAAUCUGCCUUUGAGCGGGGGACAACAUUUGGAAACGAAUGCUAAUACCGCAUAAAAACUUUAAACACAAGUUUUAAGUUUGAAAGAUGCAAUUGCAUCACUCAAAGAUGAUCCCGCGUUGUAUUAGCUAGUUGGUGAGGUAAAGGCUCACCAAGGCGAUGAUACAUAGCCGACCUGAGAGGGUGAUCGGCCACAUUGGGACUGAGACACGGCCCAAACUUCUACGGGAGGCAGCAGUAGGGAAUCUUCGGCAAUGGACGAAAGACUGACCGAGCAACGCCGCGUGAGUGAAGAAGGUUUUCGGAUCGUAAAACUCUGUUGGUAGUGAAGAACGUUGGUGAGAGUGGAAAGCUCAUCAAGUGACGGUAACUACCCAGAAAGGGACGGCUAACUACGUG
Molecule: ribosomal RNA, 497 nt
Filed under: uncultured bacterium
Lineage: Bacteria
Description: partial 16S ribosomal RNA
Rfam family: Bacterial small subunit ribosomal RNA
Source: RNAcentral